RNAcentral lists this ribosomal RNA (490 nucleotides) under uncultured bacterium. Its description in RNAcentral is "partial 16S ribosomal RNA". It matches the Rfam family "Bacterial small subunit ribosomal RNA", at positions 30 to 507 of the family's 1533-position model. The record is from RNAcentral.
AUUGAACGCUGGCGGCAGGCCUAACACAUGCAAGUCGAACGGUAACAGGAAGAAGCUUGCUUCUUUGCUGACGAGUGGCGGACGGGUGAGUAAUGUCUGGGAAACAGCCUGAUGGAGGGGGAUAACUACUGGAAACGGUAGCUAAUACCGCAUAACGUCGCAAGACCAAAAAGGGGGACCUUCGGGCCUCUUGCCAUCGGAUGUGCCCAGAUGGGAUUAGCUAGUAGGUGGGGUAACGGCUCACCUAGGCGACGAUCCCUAGCUGGUCUGAGAGGAUGACCAGCCACACUGGAACUGAGACACGGUCCAGACUCCUACGGGAGGCAGCAGUGGGGAAUAUUGCACAAUGGGCGCAAGCCUGAUGCAGCCAUGCCGCGUGUAUGAAGAAGGCCUUCGGGUUGUAAAGUACUUUCAGCGGGGAGGAAGGGAGUAAAGUUAAUACCUUUGCUCAUUGACGUUACCCGCAGAAGAAGCACCGGCUAACUCCGUG